GGCGCCAGCUGCAGUUUGAGAUAGCAGAUUGGGGAGACAGCAAUACUAAUGUGUUGAAAAUGGAUGAGGGGAAAACUGUCCCAGAUUUUCAGGUGGUUCAGACAAAUGAAGGUAAGGAGGACAUCUUGUAGCAGCAGCAGUGACCAAAAUGAGGGUGAAAGCAGUCUACCAUGGAGUGGAAUAGUUAUAUAAUUCCUGACCUCAUACCAAAACUAUAUAGAGGAGAAAAUAGGACGACUUUAGAAGUUUAUGAGAUGACAUGAAAAUGAGACAUGAAAACAACCCAGGGACUACAAUCCCUCUCCAUAUUCUGCUUGAGGAAAUCAGAAUACAGAGAAUUUCAGUGGAUUUUUCAAGCUCAGACAAUUAUUAUUAAAGAAAAUCUUGAUGCUAAUGAAGAACACUGCAGUCUAAUUCAUCACUGAAUUAAUUUCCUGAGUAAGGAGGAGAAGGCAGUAUUAUUUUCAGGACAAAGAUUAGCUUCAUCGCUGCCAAAAGCUUGGUGUUACACUAAGAUGUUAAGGAUGUGUCAUUUUGGAAGUGAAUCACGGACAUAAUCAAAUUCCACUUCUGGCAGCAGAGAAGAGAAUACAGCUGUGUAUAACUCUGAGCUGGUUCUCUUAUUCAUGUACACCAUCUGCUUUCUGUUGCUUUAGAUAAAAUUUUUUAUUUCAGGAUUUAAAAAUGCUUUAAAUUCAAUAAUUAUCUAACUAGUGAAUCAUUUGAAAAAAGCAAGACAGAGAAAGCAUAAUGCUUUGUCUUCUAGUAUCUUCCAGUCUAAUGGUAUCUUAGUAAUGAGGUCUAGAUACAUGGUGACAUAACAGGUAUUCCUUUUAAUUAUCAGCCUGAGACAGAAUAAGAAUGGGACUUUCCCCCAACCAUGUCUCACCAAGGACUGCAAGCUGGUGAGGGGAAGGGCUCCUGGCCAGCAGAGACCCCAAUCAGAUCAUUCAAACCCUGCAUCAUAAUCUUGUGCACGGUGCCAUAGCCACUGACUACAGGACCUUGAAGAAGCUAAAAUUAGAAAUUUCCACCAUUAAUUCUUACUCAAGAGAGUCCACCCUAACUCCCACAUAUGCACAAGACCAGGAGAUGACCAACCCUUAACCUCAGCUUCAGUACUAAAAAUCGCAUACCAAAAAUCACACCCAGGGGUAGAGACUUAACAUGCAAAUGAGACAUGCAACAUAUGAAGAAGCAUGUUAUCAAACUGCCCAAGUGCUAACAGUUCCCUGCCUCUGCAUACCCAAACACCACUCCUUUCCCUCUGCAGCCCUUUUAAAACUGCCUUUUCAUCUCCCUCUGGGGAGCCAGCCAGAAAAUUCUCUCUGUCUCGUGCUGCUUCCUUUAUGCCCUGGUGUAAGUGCCAAUAAAGCCUUGUCUGGGAAAA
This is a long non-coding RNA of Pongo pygmaeus (Bornean orangutan), 1390 nucleotides long. RefSeq lists it as uncharacterized. The transcript has 5 exons. Lineage: Eukaryota; Metazoa; Chordata; Mammalia; Primates; Hominidae. The record is from RefSeq and is a predicted model, not a curated record.